RNAcentral lists this transfer RNA (76 nucleotides) under Escherichia coli. RNAcentral's name for it is "tRNA-Arg". It matches the Rfam family "tRNA". From Rfam's summary of the family: Transfer RNA (tRNA) molecules are approximately 80 nucleotides in length. The record is from RNAcentral. Lineage: Bacteria; Pseudomonadati; Pseudomonadota; Gammaproteobacteria; Enterobacterales; Enterobacteriaceae.
GCAUCCGUAGCUCAGCUGGAUAGAGUACUCGGCUACGAACCGGCGGCCGCAGGCGAGAAUCCUCCCGGAUGCACCA